AGAGAGAGAGAGGAAGGAAGGAAGGAAGGAAGGAAGGAAGGAAGGAAGGAAGGAAGGAAGGAGAUAUGAGUUUCAUUUUGCUUUUCCUCAUUGUCCUAAGCAUCUCCCCUGGUAUCUGCUCCACUCCACAGAUAAUUGAGUCUGGUCCAGGACUGGUGAAACCUGGGGAGUCCUUCAAACUGACCUGCAGAGAUUCUGGGGUUCAAGUCAGUGAUUAUUACUGGAACUGGAUCCGGCAGCCUCUAGGGAAAGGGCUGGAAUGGAUAGCAUUCAUUCGCAACACUGCAAAUGGAGGAACCACUGAGAUCAAUUCAGCACUGAGAAGUCGAGCCAGCAUCUCCAGGGACAUCUCCAGAAAUGAAGUGUAUCUGCAGCUGAGCUCCCCAACAGCUGCAGACACAGCAGUGUAUUUUGCUGUGCGAGGCGAGAGACACAGUGAACAAAAGAAGGAAGCAUCCCUGCAAGAUCCACCCUCAGACUUAACCCCUUGCACAGGAACUGAUAGAUCCCUGUCACCAACAGACAUCCACUGA
Podarcis raffonei (Aeolian wall lizard) is the source of this 533-nucleotide non-coding RNA. NCBI's taxonomy places the organism in Eukaryota, Metazoa, Chordata, Lepidosauria, Squamata, Lacertidae. The record is from the annotation of a RefSeq genome assembly.